Molecule: small nucleolar RNA, 137 nt
Filed under: Ornithorhynchus anatinus (platypus)
Lineage: Eukaryota; Metazoa; Chordata; Mammalia; Monotremata; Ornithorhynchidae
Source: RNAcentral
CCCCUCUCAGGGUUGCACCUGGAGAGUUUCCAGUACUCUACCAGUCUCGGCUACAGGAGGGAGAGUCAAGCAGAGGCCUGUCCUUUCAUUCCUUGCUUGGGCAGUGGCUAGUGAGUGGAGGGCAAUCUGCUACAAGU